This 74-nucleotide transfer RNA is filed under the name Fusarium falciforme. RNAcentral's name for it is "tRNA-Arg". It matches the Rfam family "tRNA". From Rfam's summary of the family: Transfer RNA (tRNA) molecules are approximately 80 nucleotides in length. Their secondary structure includes four short double-helical elements and three loops (D, anti-codon, and T loops). Lineage: Eukaryota; Fungi; Ascomycota; Sordariomycetes; Hypocreales; Nectriaceae. The record is from RNAcentral.
UUCCUCGUGGCCCAAUGGUCACGGAGAUCUGACUACGAACCAGGAGAUUCCAGGUUCGAGUCCUAGCGGGGAAA